CUUUUUAUCUAGACUGUGUCUUUAAAGUGGUGGAAAUGACCAAUUCUGUGUCUUAGGAGGGAGGUGGCAUGAAGCCGGGAAAUGACUGAGGAAGGGAUACUGAUAUGAAAUGAUUUAUUUCUGGAAAAUGCUCUUGUCCCUGGUUCCCUUCACGCCCCCACCCCCAGCCUCAGCUCUGUCUGGGUGGAACGAAUGUCUGCUAAUGAACUAAACAAACAGGUCUCUUAAUCUUAUCAUGGAGCUGACCCAGAGACUGGCACAGAUAUCCAAAGUAUCAUAAUUGGCAGGUCAGAAUUAAAACUACAUACAUCAUGGUGACUUUAUAGCUGAGGCAAAGUGGAGCUCAAGUGUUACUUUCCCAGUAAGCAAAUCAUAAUGAAGUAUCAUGCUGGUGACUAAUUUAACUAACAUUGUCCAGGAAAUUGCUGUUGUCCAGGAAGAGAAGAGUUGAGCCGAGUGUCAACUACUA
Molecule: long non-coding RNA, 469 nt
Filed under: Homo sapiens (human)
Lineage: Eukaryota; Metazoa; Chordata; Mammalia; Primates; Hominidae
Description: non-protein coding lnc-GPR39-4:1
Source: RNAcentral